UUAAGCGACUAAGCGUACACGGUGGAUGCCCUGGCAGUCAGAGGCGAUGAAGGACGUGCUAAUCUGCGAAAAGCGUCGGUAAGGUGAUAUGAACCGUUAUAGCCGGCGAUGUCCGAAUGGGGAAACCCAGUGCAAUUCGUUGCACUAUCGUUUGAUGAAUACAUAGUCAAACGAGGCGAACCGGGGGAACUGAAACAUCUAAGUACCCCGAGGAAAAGAAAUCAACCGAGAUUCCCCCAGUAGCGGCGAGCGAACGGGGAGCAGCCCGGAGUCUGAAUCAGCUUGUGUGUUAGUGGAAGCGUCUGGAAAGUCGCAGGGUACAGGGUGAUACUCCCGUACACUAAAGCACACAGGUUGUGAACUCGAAGAGUAGGGCGGGACACGUGGUAUCCUGUCUGAAUAUGGGGGGACCAUCCUCCAAGGCUAAAUACUCCUGACUGACCGAUAGUGAACCAGUACCGUGAGGGAAAGGCGAAAAGAACCCCGGCGAGGGGAGUGAAAAAGAACCUGAAACCGUGUACGUACAAGCAGUAGGAGCCCACUAGUUGGGUGACUGCGUACCUUUUGUAUAAUGGGUCAGCGACUUAUAUUCUGUAGCAAGGUUAACCGUAUAGGGGAGCCGCAGGGAAACCGAGUCUUAACUGGGCGUUAAGUUGCAGGGUAUAGACCCGAAACCCGGUGAUCUAGCCAUGGGCAGGUUGAAGGUUGGGUAACACUAACUGGAGGACCGAACCGACUAAUGUUGAAAAAUUAGCGGAUGACUUGUGGCUGGGGGUGAAAGGCCAAUCAAACCGGGAGAUAGCUGGUUCUCCCCGAAAGCUAUUUAGGUAGCGCCUCGUGAACUCAUCUUCGGGGGUAGAGCACUGUUUCGGCUAGGGGGUCAUCCCGACUUACCAACCCGAUGCAAACUACGAAUACCGAAGAAUGUUAUCACGGGAGACACACGGCGGGUGCUAACGUCCGUCGUGAAGAGGGAAACAACCCAGACCGCCAGCUAAGGUCCCAAAGUCAUGGUUAAGUGGGAAACGAUGUGGGAAGGCCCAGACAGCCAGGAUGUUGGCUUAGAAGCAGCCAUCAUUUAAAGAAAGCGUAAUAGCUCACUGGUCGAGUCGGCCUGCGCGGAAGAUGUAACGGGGCUAAACCAUGCACCGAAGCUGCGGCAGCGACACUAUGUGUUGUUGGGUAGGGGAGCGUUCUGUAAGCCGUUGAAGGUGGCCUGUGAGGGUUGCUGGAGGUAUCAGAAGUGCGAAUGCUGACAUAAGUAACGAUAAUGCGGGUGAAAAACCCGCACGCCGGAAGACCAAGGGUUCCUGUCCAACGUUAAUCGGGGCAGGGUGAGUCGACCCCUAAGGCGAGGCCGAAAGGCGUAGUCGAUGGGAAACAGGUUAAUAUUCCUGUACUCGGUGUUACUGCGAAGGGGGGACGGAGAAGGCUAUGUUGGCCGGGCGACGGUUGUCCCGGUUUAAGCAUGUAGGCGGAUGUUCCAGGUAAAUCCGGAACGUCACUAACGCUGAGGUGUGAUGACGAGGCACUACGGUGCUGAAGUGACAAAUGCCCUGCUUCCAGGAAAAGCCUCUAAGCAUCAGGUAACAUCAAAUCGUACCCCAAACCGACACAGGUGGUCAGGUAGAGAAUACCAAGGCGCUUGAGAGAACUCGGGUGAAGGAACUAGGCAAAAUGGUGCCGUAACUUCGGGAGAAGGCACGCUGAUGGUAGGUGAAGCGACUUGCUCGUGGAGCUGAAAUCAGUCGAAGAUACCAGCUGGCUGCAACUGUUUAUUAAAAACACAGCACUGUGCAAACACGAAAGUGGACGUAUACGGUGUGACGCCUGCCCGGUGCCGGAAGGUUAAUUGAUGGGGUUAUCCGUAAGGAGAAGCUCUUGAUCGAAGCCCCGGUAAACGGCGGCCGUAACUAUAACGGUCCUAAGGUAGCGAAAUUCCUUGUCGGGUAAGUUCCGACCUGCACGAAUGGCGUAAUGAUGGCCAGGCUGUCUCCACCCGAGACUCAGUGAAAUUGAACUCGCUGUGAAGAUGCAGUGUACCCGCGGCAAGACGGAAAGACCCCGUGAACCUUUACUAUAGCUUGACACUGAACACUGGUCCUUGAUGUGUAGGAUAGGUGGGAGGCUUUGAAGUGUGGACGCCAGUCUGCAUGGAGCCAUCCUUGAAAUACCACCCUUUAAUGGCUGGUGUUCUAACGUGGGCCCGUAAUCCGGGUUGCGGACAGUGUCUGGUGGGUAGUUUGACUGGGGCGGUCUCCUCCUAAAGAGUAACGGAGGAGCACGAAGGUCAGCUAAUCCUGGUCGGACAUCAGGAGGUUAGUGCAAUGGCAUAAGCUGGCUUGACUGCGAGCGUGACGGCGCGAGCAGGUGCGAAAGCAGGUCAUAGUGAUCCGGUGGUUCUGAAUGGAAGGGCCAUCGCUCAACGGAUAAAAGGUACUCCGGGGAUAACAGGCUGAUACCGCCCAAGAGUUCAUAUCGACGGCGGUGUUUGGCACCUCGAUGUCGGCUCAUCACAUCCUGGGGCUGAAGUAGGUCCCAAGGGUAUGGCUGUUCGCCAUUUAAAGUGGUACGCGAGCUGGGUUUAGAACGUCGUGAGACAGUUCGGUCCCUAUCUGCCGUGGGCGCUGGAGAAUUGAGGGGGGCUGCUCCUAGUACGAGAGGACCGGAGUGGACGCAUCACUGGUGUUCGGGUUGUCAUGCCAAUGGCAUUGCCCGGUAGCUAAAUGCGGAAGAGAUAAGUGCUGAAAGCAUCUAAGCACGAAACUUGCCCCGAGAUGAGUUCUCCCUGACUCCUUGAGAGUCCUGAAGGAACGUUGAAGACGACGACGUUGAUAGGCCGGGUGUGUAAGCGCAGCGAUGCGUUGAGCUAACCGGUACUAAUGAACCGUGAGGCUUAACCUU
RNAcentral lists this ribosomal RNA (2904 nucleotides) under Klebsiella michiganensis. RNAcentral describes it as "bacterial LSU rRNA". It matches the Rfam family "Bacterial large subunit ribosomal RNA". Lineage: Bacteria; Pseudomonadati; Pseudomonadota; Gammaproteobacteria; Enterobacterales; Enterobacteriaceae. The record is from RNAcentral.